Molecule: ribosomal RNA, 887 nt
Filed under: Enterococcus faecium
Lineage: Bacteria; Bacillati; Bacillota; Bacilli; Lactobacillales; Enterococcaceae
Description: bacterial SSU rRNA
Rfam family: Bacterial small subunit ribosomal RNA
Source: RNAcentral
UCUGCUCAGGACGAACGCUGGCGGCGUGCCUAAUACAUGCAAGUCGAACGCUUCUUUUUCCACCGGAGCUUGCUCCACCGGAAAAAGAGGAGUGGCGAACGGGUGAGUAACACGUGGGUAACCUGCCCAUCAGAAGGGGAUAACACUUGGAAACAGGUGCUAAUACCGUAUAACAAUCGAAACCGCAUGGUUUUGAUUUGAAAGGCGCUUUCGGGUGUCGCUGAUGGAUGGACCCGCGGUGCAUUAGCUAGUUGGUGAGGUAACGGCUCACCAAGGCCACGAUGCAUAGCCGACCUGAGAGGGUGAUCGGCCACAUUGGGACUGAGACACGGCCCAAACUCCUACGGGAGGCAGCAGUAGGGAAUCUUCGGCAAUGGACGAAAGUCUGACCGAGCAACGCCGCGUGAGUGAAGAAGGUUUUCGGAUCGUAAAACUCUGUUGUUAGAGAAGAACAAGGAUGAGAGUAACUGUUCAUCCCUUGACGGUAUCUAACCAGAAAGCCACGGCUAACUACGUGCCAGCAGCCGCGGUAAUACGUAGGUGGCAAGCGUUGUCCGGAUUUAUUGGGCGUAAAGCGAGCGCAGGCGGUUUCUUAAGUCUGAUGUGAAAGCCCCCGGCUCAACCGGGGAGGGUCAUUGGAAACUGGGAGACUUGAGUGCAGAAGAGGAGAGUGGAAUUCCAUGUGUAGCGGUGAAAUGCGUAGAUAUAUGGAGGAACACCAGUGGCGAAGGCGGCUCUCUGGUCUGUAACUGACGCUGAGGCUCGAAAGCGUGGGGAGCAAACAGGAUUAGAUACCCUGGUAGUCCACGCCGUAAACGAUGAGUGCUAAGUGUUGGAGGGUUUCCGCCCUUCAGUGCUGCAGCUAACGCAUUAAGCACUCCGCCUGG